AGACUUAACUACACUGUCCCCAAUGUAAAUUCAGUCGGAGUUAUGUGACUAACUAAAGCAUAAGGACUCAAUGUAACAAGUUAGAACGAUAUACCAGACCGGAUUAGAAGUCGAUCGAUGUGAUAGUGUUUUCAUUUGUCGCGGCAGCUGAUGCUCUGUCGAUCAAUGUCGGCAGUGUUUCGUCGGCUGAUACUCACGGCAAUCGUCUACUCAGAUCUUUUUAUUUUGGUUUUUUUAUGACCUGCAAUAAUUUAAAAACUAACAUAAGUACAAAACUAAUAAAAACCAAUUAGCUAUUACCUAAUAGUGGGUUGCCUCC
Molecule: long non-coding RNA, 319 nt
Filed under: Brassica napus (rape)
Lineage: Eukaryota; Viridiplantae; Streptophyta; Magnoliopsida; Brassicales; Brassicaceae
Description: long non-coding RNA (BNAP_LNC021562)
Source: RNAcentral